GACGAACGCUGGCGGCGUGCCUAAUACAUGCAAGUAGAACGCUGAAGGGGGAGCUUGCUUCUCUGGAUGAGUUGCGAACGGGUGAGUAACGCGUAGGUAACCUGCCUGGUAGCGGGGGAUAACUAUUGGAAACGAUAGCUAAUACCGCAUAAUAGUAGAUGUUGCAUGACAUUUGCUUAAAAGGUGCAGUUGCAUCACUACCAGAUGGACCUGCGUUGUAUUAGCUAGUUGGUGGGGUAACGGCUCACCAAGGCGACGAUACAUAGCCGACCUGAGAGGGGGAGCGGCCGCACUGGGAGGGUGACCCGGCCCAGAGUGCUACAGGAGGGAGCAGGAGGGAAUCGUCGGCAAGGGACGGAAGUCUGACCGAGCAACGCCGCGGGAGGGAAGAAGGUUGUCGGGUGGGAAAGGUCUGUUGUCAGAGAAGAAAGAGUGUGAGAGUGGAAAGUUCACACUGUGACGGUAUCUGACCAGAAAGGGACGGCUAACUACGUG
RNAcentral lists this ribosomal RNA (495 nucleotides) under uncultured bacterium. Its description in RNAcentral is "partial 16S ribosomal RNA". It matches the Rfam family "Bacterial small subunit ribosomal RNA", at positions 28 to 507 of the family's 1533-position model. The record is from RNAcentral.